GGAGAGCAUUGGAGACACAGGUUCGGGAAAUACACUCGCAGUAGAAGUCAUUUCAACAACCUUUGGAAAAUCGGUCAUUUCCACGAGUUAUGCUGUUACAACUAAAGCUGGAGCUGCUAGCUCGAAGCAAGCAAGUACGACGCAAAAGGCAGGAGCUAUGUUAGCAGCGUCGACUACUUCAAAGGCAGGUGCAACGCAGUCAGCUACGAAAGCUGGGUCGACCACAACAGCUAGUGCGACAGAGAAGACAACAGCUGGAGCAACAACUACUACAAUCAAACUCGGCAAUCAAAUCCAAACUACAACCACGGCGAAAAUUAAUCCAUACAUGACAACGGCUUCUACCAUUUUGACCGCAAUAGUAAAAACAUCUCUGACCACGACCACGAUGAAUCAAAUCACGUCAACAGCACCAACAACAACUUCAACAACGAGGACGCCUUGUAUUUUACACAGUUGCUCUGCAAUUGUGAGUCACCGAUUUUAACACACCUCUUUCUAUUUUUCAAUAUUUUAUUAAUCUUGAAUUUGGACUUCUCUUAAAAAAGUAUUUUGUUGUUGUAAUGAGAAGUAAGCAUUGACAUGGAUUAUUAUAAAAAAAACUUCAUAAUAUAUAAAAUCUUUGUCAACACUAAAUCGAAAAUUUGAUGAGGGUUUUAUUAUUGAUUACAGUCACAGAAUUUAAAUGCUGAUGGAAUUGUGGACACUUCUAAACUUACAAACGUAUUAUUCCAACAAGCGUGUGGUCAACUAUAUGUCUUUGACCAGAACUUGCGCAAUUGGUCGGACGCCUCCAGCUUCUGCUGCUCGCUGAGCAUGAAAAUGCUG
Long non-coding RNA from Cloeon dipterum, 828 nucleotides. RefSeq lists it as uncharacterized. Lineage: Eukaryota; Metazoa; Arthropoda; Insecta; Ephemeroptera; Baetidae. The record is from RefSeq and is a predicted model, not a curated record. The transcript is spliced from 3 exons.